AUUAUUGGACAAUGGGGGCAACCCUGAUCCAGCCAUGCCGCGUGUGUGAAGAAGGUGUUCGGAUUGUAAAGCACUUUAAGUUGGGCGGCAGGGCUUUAGGCGAAUCCCCUGAAGUUCGGCCGACACUAACAGAAUAAGCGCCGGCUAACUCUGUGCCAGCACCCGCGGUAAUACAGAGGGUGCAAGCGUUAAUCGGAAUAACUGGGCGUAAAGCGCUGGUAGGUGGUUCAGUAAGAUGGGUGUGAAAUCCCCGGGGUUAACCUGGGAACUGGUUUCAUAACUGCUGAGCUAGAGUACGGUAGAGGGUAGUAGAAUUUCCUGUGUAGCGGUGAAAUGCGUAAAUAUAGGAAGGAACACCAGUGGCGAAGGCGACUACCUGGACUGAUACUGACACUGAGGUGCGAAAGCGUGGGGAGCAAACAGG
Molecule: ribosomal RNA, 424 nt
Filed under: uncultured bacterium
Lineage: Bacteria
Description: partial 16S ribosomal RNA
Rfam family: Bacterial small subunit ribosomal RNA
Source: RNAcentral